CUCGCCUUGCCGCAGGAGACUCAGACCCCCUCCCACAGGGCAGUCACCAGCCUCCUCCCAGUAGCAAAUGAUUUGAUGGGGGCUCUUUUCUUUCGAAAGGACCUGGGGGUCAGCGGACGUUCGGACUCAUUGCGAAGUGAAGAACCUUACUGGGGGAUUUUUUUUCUUUCAUUCUUUCCCUUUUUUUUUUUGUAAUUAAAAAACCCUUUUCAGAACUAAAGGAGGAAACAGAUUCUUCCCUUUCCCAUUUUAAGCACUUAUGGGAGGAAGCGAAGAUAGGAAAGGCGAACCAGUCAACUGGAGUGGAGUAGGAGCUCAGAUGAAAAAGAAGACAGGAAAAGGAGAGAGGGAAACCUUAAGAUCCUGGCACCAAGAAGGAGCUGGGGGCUCUGACCACGGCCCGCAUGAGGAGUUAAACCCUUUCUAACUAACCUUCCAGGCAUCUAGAGACAGACCUCUCAGAUCUGAAAAGAAAGCCUGGCUGCCUUUAUUUAUAUUCAAUCUUCAAAGCCUAAUAUAUUAAAAUGAGAGUUCAUUUUUCCCACGACAUUCUGGAAAUCUUGUAUACAAGCAAAGAAAUGACCAUUUAUAAUGUUCUGCAGAAGAAUCCUGGAGCUUUAGGCCCUGGUGGAUUAUAAAUAAGAAAAAAAGGAACAAAUAUCUCAAAAUGUAUUGAUCUGAGUGCUGAAUAAUCUCAUUCUUCAAAGUGGAAAGUAACCCUGUUUUUGCAGAUAAGGAAACAGAGUUGUUAUUGCAAUCAACUGGACUGUUUUUGAAAUGCAAGCGAGGCACGUACACCCUCUAGUGGAGAAUCUAAUUAGCAAUGGAAUUUUACAAAAGGAAUUUCUAUGGAAAGAUUUUGUCAAGGAACAGCUGGACAUUGUCACCUCCAUGGUCCAAAUCUAAAUCUUCUAAUGAAUAGAAAAAUUCAGUUUCUCAAUGAAAAGAAGGUAGAUAAAAGUAGCAAUCUCUUAUUGAUUGAGUUAACAUUAAUUAUUGAAUAUCAAAUGCAGACCAUGUAUUGUUUUAGGGGUUUUUUGUUUUUUGUUUUUGUACCAGGGAUUGAACUUGGGACCUUGCGCUUGUGAGACAGGCGUCGGAACCACUGAGCUAAAUCCCCGGCCCAGGAGUUCUUUUUUUAAAAAGGACACAUUCAGUUUUAGAUUCUAUAGAAUAUUCAAGUGCAGAUGUCGGG
RNAcentral lists this long non-coding RNA (1195 nucleotides) under Heterocephalus glaber (naked mole-rat). RNAcentral's name for it is "lncRNA (ENSHGLG00100041796.1)". Lineage: Eukaryota; Metazoa; Chordata; Mammalia; Rodentia; Bathyergidae. The record is from RNAcentral.